AGUUAAAUUGCAGAAAUCGCAAAACUUUAAUAUCCCCCAAGUCCAAAGACCAAAGUCGUGGCGAAAGUCAAAGUAAUGGAAUUGUGUAAUUAACGAGACUCUGGGGAGAAAGACCCGAUGAAACGUUCCAGCUGCUGCGGACUUUUGCUAUAACUUGAAGAUGUCUCCACCACAUCCACAUCCACAUCCUUCGGACGCAGGAUGGAGUGCAAUAGAUGCAGUGCAGCGAGGCCCAGCAGAGGACGGAUGGGCCUGGGGGCUGGUUCCAACACCAACAAGCAGCAUCUCCUCCGAUAUUUAUCAGAUGAAUAUUAAUUAGAACGAUUAUGUACAUGUGUGGCAGCUUGAGAAUUGCACAUUUCUCAAGCCAAUUGUUGCUGCUUGAAACUUUACUGAUGUUUAGCUUGGAUUGGAACACAUUUUUAAAGGACGUUGAGAACCAGCUACUACCGAUGCAUGAUUCAGUUAGAUGGUAGUCUGAUAGAAUAAAUCAAUAUAAUCACAAUAUAAAGAUUUAAUUGGAAGUUAUCUUCCAAUACAGGCCAAAAGCCUGUAUCUUUAGAUUGUAACUUUAAGAUCACAGAAGAAAAAAAAAUAUAAAUACAUAUGCCUCUACUCUGAUGGAUAGAUACAUUUCAAUAAGAGUCCAUCCUGAAUCUACAGGAAAAAUUCAGAUAUAUUUGCAAAGCCUUUUACGGGAAUAUCUGGUUCUAAAAAAUGUAUGCCAUUUAUUUAUUGAACAUUGCAAGCGCAUAAAUUAUAGAUUCAUUGUGGUUUCUAAAAAAAAAAUUUAUCCUACGGCAAACAAGGAAUUUUACACAUGUGAUGCACAUAUUUUUUUAAAGCUUUUAAAGUUAUUGCGUAAAAAUAGGAAAAAAGAAAUAUGCAAAUACGAGUAUAAAUAUUUAGUAUGAAGACUACUUUUAAGUCCAUUUUAUUUUACAUUU
This is a long non-coding RNA of Drosophila miranda, 947 nucleotides long. RefSeq lists it as uncharacterized. NCBI's taxonomy places the organism in Eukaryota, Metazoa, Arthropoda, Insecta, Diptera, Drosophilidae. The transcript is spliced from 3 exons. The record is from RefSeq and is a predicted model, not a curated record.